AUUCUAGUAGCUUAUCGAUAAAGCACUGGCCGUAAACCAAAGAUUGAAGACUAUAAUCUUCCUAGAGUA
This 69-nucleotide transfer RNA is filed under the name Platysternon megacephalum (big-headed turtle). Its description in RNAcentral is "tRNA-Tyr". The record is from RNAcentral. Lineage: Eukaryota; Metazoa; Chordata; Testudines; Platysternidae.